RNAcentral lists this ribosomal RNA (274 nucleotides) under uncultured bacterium. RNAcentral's name for it is "partial 16S ribosomal RNA". It matches the Rfam family "Bacterial small subunit ribosomal RNA", at positions 523 to 796 of the family's 1533-position model. The record is from RNAcentral.
AUACGGAGGGUGCAAGCGUUAUGCGGAAUCACUGGGCGUAAAGGACGCGUAGGCGGGUUGGCAAGUCAGAUGUGAAAUCCUACAGCUUAACUGUAGAACUGCAUUUGAAACUGCUAACCUAGAGUAUGGGAGGGGGAGAUGGAAUUAGUGGUGUAGGGGUAAAAUCCGUAGAUAUCACUAGGAAUACCGAAAGCGAAGGCGAUCUCCUGGAACAUAACUGACGCUAAGGCGUGAAAGCGUGGGGAGCAAACAGGAUUAGAUACCCUAGUAGUCC